Molecule: non-coding RNA, 452 nt
Organism: Prunus avium (sweet cherry)
Lineage: Eukaryota; Viridiplantae; Streptophyta; Magnoliopsida; Rosales; Rosaceae
Source: RefSeq, a predicted model, not a curated record
CCGAAGGAAGAAUGGGACCCCAUAAACCCUCUUUUGGUGGGAUUUGGACAGACAGUUUGCACUCCGCUCAGACCUCGUUGUGGCAUGUGCAGUGUGAGCGAGUUUUGCCCAUCUGCAUUCAAAGAAGCCUCAAGCCCAUCAUCCAAGUCAAAGAAGUCUGGUUUGAGCAAGAAGCUUUGACAAAUUGAAUCUCAGAGGGGAAUCAGUUUAUGUCUUCUUCUGUCGGCCUUUUGUACAUAUAUCUUAACCCUAAACAAUUUCAUGGAUUCUUGGAUUGCCAAGGUAAAAUCUUGUGUCCUACCACCUCAUGUACUUAGGCAAAAGGGGAAUGCAAAUUGGGAAAGGGUGUGUCAAUUGGGAGAGUUUUUGUGGCAUAGUUUUUGGGGCAUUGUAUAACAAAUUCAGAUGGUCAAGAUCUAUAUAAUAUUCAUUGAAGUAUAAUUGGAAGAUCA